AGAGUUUGAUCCUGGCUCAGAUUGAACGCUGGCGGCAGGCCUAACACAUGCAAGUCGAACGGUAACAGGAAACAGCUUGCUGUUUCGCUGACGAGUGGCGGACGGGUGAGUAAUGUCUGGGAAACUGCCUGAUGGAGGGGGAUAACUACUGGAAACGGUAGCUAAUACCGCAUAACGUCGCAAGACCAAAGAGGGGGACCUUCGGGCCUCUUGCCAUCAGAUGUGCCCAGAUGGGAUUAGCUAGUAGGUGGGGUAACGGCUCACUUAGGCGACGAUCCCUAGCUGGUCUGAGAGGAUGACCAGCCACACUGGAACUGAGACACGGUCCAGACUCCUACGGGAGGCAGCAGUGGGGAAUAUUGCACAAUGGGCGCAAGCCUGAUGCAGCCAUGCCGCGUGUAUGAAGAAGGCCUUCGGGUUGUAAAGUACUUUCAGCGGGGAGGAAGGGAGUAAAGUUAAUACCUUUGCUCAUUGACGUUACCCGCAGAAGAAGCACCGGCUAACUCCGUGCCAGCAGCCGCGGUAAUACGGAGGGUGCAAGCGUUAAUCGGAAUUACUGGGCGUAAAGCGCACGCAGGCGGUUUGUUAAGUCAGAUGUGAAAUCCCCGGGCUCAACCUGGGAACUGCAUCUGAUACUGGCAAGCUUGAGUCUCGUAGAGGGGGGUAGAAUUCCAGGUGUAGCGGUGAAAUGCGUAGAGAUCUGGAGGAAUACCGGUGGCGAAGGCGGCCCCCUGGACGAAGACUGACGCUCAGGUGCGAAAGCGUGGGGAGCAAACAGGAUUAGAUACCCUGGUAGUCCACGCCGUAAACGAUGUCGACUUGGAGGUUGUGCCCUUGAGGCGUGGCUUCCGGAGCUAACGCGUUAAGUCGACCGCCUGGGGAGUACGGCCGCAAGGUUAAAACUCAAAUGAAUUGACGGGGGCCCGCACAAGCGGUGGAGCAUGUGGUUUAAUUCGAUGCAACGCGAAGAACCUUACCUGGUCUUGACAUCCACGGAAGUUUUCAGAGAUGAGAAUGUGCCUUCGGGAACCGUGAGACAGGUGCUGCAUGGCUGUCGUCAGCUCGUGUUGUGAAAUGUUGGGUUAAGUCCCGUAACGAGCGCAACCC
This 1107-nucleotide ribosomal RNA is filed under the name uncultured bacterium. Its description in RNAcentral is "bacterial SSU rRNA". It matches the Rfam family "Bacterial small subunit ribosomal RNA", at positions 8 to 1104 of the family's 1533-position model. The record is from RNAcentral.